CCUCUUGCCUCUUGCUAUUUCC
Molecule: non-coding RNA, 22 nt
Filed under: Arabidopsis thaliana (thale cress)
Lineage: Eukaryota; Viridiplantae; Streptophyta; Magnoliopsida; Brassicales; Brassicaceae
Source: RNAcentral